CACCUCUCAGCAUGACAACUGGAGGGUUCCCAGUACUUUACUAGUCUUGACUAUGGGAGGGAGAGUCAAGCAGAGACAUACCCAUUCCAUUCCUAGCAUGGGCAGCUGUUAGCAAGUGGAAGGCAAUCUGCUACAGGU
Molecule: small nucleolar RNA, 138 nt
Organism: Tachyglossus aculeatus (Australian echidna)
Lineage: Eukaryota; Metazoa; Chordata; Mammalia; Monotremata; Tachyglossidae
Source: RefSeq, a predicted model, not a curated record